This 558-nucleotide unclassified non-coding RNA is filed under the name Hevea brasiliensis (rubber tree). The record is from RNAcentral. Lineage: Eukaryota; Viridiplantae; Streptophyta; Magnoliopsida; Malpighiales; Euphorbiaceae.
UUCAUGUCUUCCUUUAAUCCCUCUUAUCUGUUUUACUUCUUUUACAUAUCAAAUGGGAAUGCCAAUUUUCUUCCGCCUUUUCACUUUGUUAAAUCUUUGGCAUGCCAAAUGGGAACACUGAUUUCUUACUCAUAUAUAUGGAAUAGUUUGUUAUAUAGUGGGUUUGUUAAAUCUUUUUCACAUUAUAUGUGAGAUUUGGUACUAUUUUCUUCAUGUGGAAUCGUUUUUCAUAUGUGUUUUUAUAUAUCUAGUGAAGUACUAGUUUGGUUGGAUUUUGUACGCAUUGUCUUGCUCCUUGUAAGUAAACACUACACUUUAAGCCAUUGAUGGUCAUUACUUAACUUAUCCUAAAAAUUAAUCCUUGCUUUGAGUGCUUUGGGAAGAAAAUUUUUUUGUGUUUUGGGGUGGGGGGUGCAAAAAAUUUAUUUAGUUGUUCAUGUAUGUGCUUCCCUAUUCAAAACUCAUAAUAACUUCAUUUUUCUGGUUAAUUAGGUCUUUCCCGCAGUUAACUCAUCUGUGCUGGACCAAUUGAGUAACGUGGAUUGCAUUGUUUAUGCU